This 303-nucleotide ribosomal RNA is filed under the name uncultured bacterium. Its description in RNAcentral is "partial 16S ribosomal RNA". It matches the Rfam family "Bacterial small subunit ribosomal RNA", at positions 507 to 807 of the family's 1533-position model. The record is from RNAcentral.
AGCAGCAGCCACGGUAACACGGAGGGUGCAAGCGUUAAUCGGAAUCACUGGGCGUAAAGCGCACGCAGGCGGUUUGUUAAGUCAGAUGUGAAAUCCCCGAGCUUAACUUGGGAACUGCAUUUGAAACUGGCAAGCUAGAGUCUUGUAGAGGGGGGUAGAAUUCCAGGUGUAGCGGUGAAAUGCGUAGAGAUCUGGAGGAAUACCGGUGGCGAAGGCGGCCCCCUGGACAAAGACUGACGCUCAGGUGCGAAAGCGUGGGGAGCAAACAGGAUUAGAUACCCCGGUAGUCCCUGUCUCUUAUAC